RNAcentral lists this ribosomal RNA (946 nucleotides) under Modestobacter sp. BMG5754. RNAcentral describes it as "bacterial SSU rRNA". It matches the Rfam family "Bacterial small subunit ribosomal RNA", at positions 524 to 1466 of the family's 1533-position model. The record is from RNAcentral. Lineage: Bacteria; Bacillati; Actinomycetota; Actinomycetes; Geodermatophilales; Geodermatophilaceae.
UACGUAGGGUGCAAGCGUUGUCCGGAAUUAUUGGGGGUAAAGAGGUCGUAGGCGGUCUGUCGCGUCGGCUGUGAAAACCCGAGGCUCAACCUCGGGCCUGCAGUCGAUACGGGCAAACUAGAGUACGGCAGGGGAGACUGGAAUUCCUGGUGUAGCGGUGAAAUGUGCAGAUAUCAGGAGGAACACCGGUGGCGAAGGCGGGUCUCUGGGCAGUAACUGACGCUGAGGAGCGAAAGCGUGGGGAGCGAACAGGAUUAGAUACCCUGGUAGUCCACGCCGUAAACGUUGGGCGCUAGGUGUGGGGGCCAUUCCACGGUCUCCGUGCCGCAGCUAACGCAUUAAGCGCCCCGCCUGGGGAGUACGGCCGCAAGGCUAAAACUCAAAGGAAUUGACGGGGGCCCGCACAAGCGGCGGAGCAUGUUGCUUAAUUCGAUGCAACGCGAAGAACCUUACCUAGGCUUGACAUGCACGGAAAUCUCGCAGAGAUGCGGGGUCCGUUAGGGCGUCGGGCACAGGUGGUGCAUGGUUGUCGUCAGCUCGUGUCGUGAGAUGUUGGGUUAAGUCCCGCAACGAGCGCAACCCUCGUUCUAUGUUACCAGCACGUUAUGGUGGGGACUCAUAGGAGACUGCCGGGGUCAACUCGGAGGAAGGUGGGGAUGACGUCAAAUCAUCAUGCCCCUUAUGUCUAGGGCUGCAAACAUGCUACAAUGCCCGGUACAAAGGGCUGCGAUACCGCGAGGUGGAGCGAAUCCCAAAAAGCCGGUCUCAGUUCGGAUUGGGGUCUGCAACUCGACCCCAUGAAGUUGGAGUCGCUAGUAAUCGCAGAUCAGCAACGCUGCGGUGAAUACGUUCCCGGGCCUUGUACACACCGCCCCUCACGUCACGAAAGUCGGUAACGCCCGAAGCCGGUGGCCCAACCCUUGUGGAGGGAGCCGUCGAAGGCGGG